GACGAACGCUGGCGGCGUGCCUAAUACAUGCAAGUCGAACGCAGUGGGGACGGGUGAGUAACACGUGGGUAACCUCCCAUCAGAGGGGAUAACACUUGGAAACAGGUGCUAAACCGAUACUGAUGGAUGGACCCGCGGUGCAUUAGCUAGUUGGUGAGGUAACGGCUCACCAAGGCCACGAUGCAUAGCCGACCUGAGAGGGUGAUCGGCCCCAUUGGGACUGGGCACCGGCCCAGCUUCCGACGGGAGGCAGCAUUAGGGAUUUUUCGGAAAGGACCGAAAGUCUGACCGAGCAACGCGGCGGGAGUGAAGAGGGUUUUCGGAUCGUAAGCCUCUGUUGUUAGAGAAGCGGUAUCUAACCAGAAAGCCACGGCUAACUACGUGCCAGCAGCCGCGGUAAUUC
RNAcentral lists this ribosomal RNA (403 nucleotides) under uncultured bacterium. Its description in RNAcentral is "partial 16S ribosomal RNA". It matches the Rfam family "Bacterial small subunit ribosomal RNA", at positions 28 to 526 of the family's 1533-position model. The record is from RNAcentral.